This 4269-nucleotide long non-coding RNA is filed under the name Sorghum bicolor (sorghum). RNAcentral's name for it is "long non-coding RNA (SBIC_LNC003314)". The record is from RNAcentral. Lineage: Eukaryota; Viridiplantae; Streptophyta; Magnoliopsida; Poales; Poaceae.
AAAGAUACAAGAUAAUACAUAUCUUUGAUGAUGAAGAUCCAGAAUUCUAAGCAAAGCGCCCAACUCUUCCUCUAUCUAGUCUAAACAUAUGUGGAACUUGAAGAAUUGGAAUAGCUAUUCUAAUUCUCCAGUGGAGAGAUCUCUAAACCCUAGAUCUACUGAUGACUCCCUUUACUUCUUAGUUCUCAAAUGAAUUAGAUAAUGAAUUAGGGUUUCUCCCAAGGGGAGAGGCCCUGAAUAUAUAGCCCUCUAGAAAGCACCACAGCUCUCGGAUCAAACCGACCUAAACAGGUGGUCAAGAUUGCUCCUCAAGGUCAGUGGAGGCAGUAUCCACGAGACCCCCCUGAUUGGUCUAGGGGGAGGGGUGGCUGCCUAGAGAGCUUGGGCGCCUGCCCAGGCACAAUGCUAGGUGGGCCCCAGCUUUAGGGUGCUGCCUUCCCAAGUCUUCUAGAUUGUUCUUUGAUUAAACGAUGUGGUAUUCUCUCUAUGUAAAUCCAACAUGUGGGCCUCCUUUGGUUAAUUCCUGAUAACCCCCUAUAGAAACAGACAUUCACCAAAAUUCAUGAAAAUUGUCAAUGAAAGCCCUAAGUCUAUAGUGAUAUUCAUUUUAUAUCCCCUUUUCUCUCCUUGAUUGACAUAUAAAAUUGAUGGUUAACAACCAUCAACAAACUCCCCAAGCUUACCUUUUGCUCGUCCCUGAGCAAACAACUACAAGAGAUUGAUCAAGAGUUGCUACAAUACUUUCACGCUUUAUAGGUACACAUGCUUCAAACAAGAGUUCAUCCCCAGACUAGAGUGGACUAUCAUAACUUCCAAACUUACUAAUGUUUCUUCCAACAAUGGGGGCUUUUACCUGAACUUGGGUCAUAGGCAGUUGAGAGAUAGAACAAUUAAGUCAAGCACUGUUGUCUCAUGCUCUAUUGUUCCACCUCUAUUCUGGAGUUUUUAUAAGAUUUUCACAAUAAAACUCAGAGUUCCUUAGCAUGAUCCUUUCAAAUCUCUCAAUAUGUGAUAUUUUUGGAUCCUCUCUAAGGCAUUGAAAGGAGUGAUGCCCUUUUCUCUUUGCUCUCAGAAUAUAUGGUAUUUGUGGCACAAGGCAUUUAUACAUGAGUCUUCACUUUCUCACCCUAUAUCUAAUAAAGCUUAUGUGGAGCUCAUAGGUGUGGAGGUAACUAAUGCAUUGUGCCCGAUCGAACCAUGGAUCUAGAGGAACUCAUCAUAUAACCAAUAGUUGUGCAUGUGUGGUUUUAUAUGUGGGUGAUGGAAGAUAGAAAAUAUUUAUGGAAGGAGAAGGGGUGCAAAAUAAUUCUAAUGUUCCUUUAUUUGGGAAAUGAUUCCUCUAACUUUGAACUUUGGAAACUUGACGAUAAACUUGGGUUCAUAAAUCUUUGUUUUUCUUCUUCUCUCUUUUUUCAUAGAACUUUUGUCCAAUAUUUUCCUUGUAGCCCAACAACUCUUUUUGUAAAUGAAAAUUUUGUAGAGGAAUAAAAGAUAAAACUUGGAGCAUUGAACUUGAGGUAAAUGGCUAUCAAAUGAAUACGGGAAAUAUGUUUGGUGUUCACUCUCAGUGUAAGAGUGCAACAUUUUUAAAUAGGUGAGAUGGAAAUAUAUAAGUGGUGCGUACUUCUAGAGUAGAAGCAGCAAGGGGUGAACAUGAGUGUGUGAUACCGGGAUUUAACCAUAUGAUGAGUUCCUAAGGGUUGACACUGCUCGAGCAAACACAAGCCCUAUAAAUAUGUGGAGGCUUUCUAUUCUAAGUAUUCAAUUAUAGUUGUGGUUGCAAUUUAUACUCUCUAUCAUAUAAGGAACUCAUCAUGAAACAUUUUGAAUUUUUGCAAACAAACCUCUAGAAUUUAGCGACACCAAGAAUAUAAUAAACAAUAGCUCAGACUAUAUCAUAUCAUGUCCAUCAACUACCUAGACUUAGUUUAAGAAUAUGCUCCCACAGGUUUAAAAAGUAGAGUAAAUUCAGUUGUUGAACAGUGUAUCUAAUGCUUGGAAGAACUUAGGUUUAAAGGUAGGUACUUGAAAAGAAUUACGGCAAAGCAACUAGUCAUCAUUUCCAUCAUGCAUUCUUCGAGUCUACAUAUUUUAUUUAUAUCAAACUUAAUAGGAAAGUAAAGCAAACUCAUAUUACACACUCUUUAAGGAAGCCCAAACUUAAACAGUAAAUUAAACAACAAAUAUUUAUUUGGUUUUAUAUGGUUUUUUUAUUUUAUUAUAUGCGAUAAAAAGAAAGAAGGAAAGCUGGAAUGAAGGGAAAGAAAACUUACCUCGAUAAUGGGGAUCCUCCCCCAAGCUAGUCUUGAUGCACUGGAUCCUACAGGAUUUGCUGAAACACGAAAAUGUCAUUUAGGGUGCUGUUGGCUUGGUCUUGUCCUUCUCGAAUGGUGGCCAAGGCCUGGGUGGUGCCUAGGUUCCACUGAUGUUGGUCAUUCCACCGCUGCUCGUUAAGGGCUUGACCCUACUGGAGACUCUAGUGGGUGUUGUCGGUGUGCUGAUGGAAUGCCAUUUCUCUAUCAUAAUGCUGCUGAGUGUAAUGGAACCCAGCAGCCUUAGACCUACACCCUGGCUCGAAAUCCUAGUAAGGCUCUUCUUCUGUCCUUGUGUCGUAGGCAUCAAAUGAAUGUCCUCCUCCUCCUAGGGUCCCCUCUAGGGAUGAAUGGUGGUGGCUGGUAGUAUCCAUAGGGUUGAUGAGCUAGAUGGUAUGGAGGGUACACUCUAGGGUGUAGUGCGUGGUGCUGGCGUGCAUGCCACAUCAUAACUGGCAUGCACCGGACCCUCCUAAGCAGGGUCAGCUCCAUGCCAAACUAGCUCUUGCUGACGGACAAAUCUCUCAGAGGUUGUCCUCUGAGGAGCCCUCAUAUUGACUAGCCUAGCCUGCAACUCAACAUGCAGAGUCUGGACAUGAUACAAUGCCAUCUCUGGGUUAGGUAAAUGGAGGGUGGCCUCUCUAUAUGUCAUAAAUAAGUCACCCUUGAUUCUUUUCAUUAAAUGAGCAUGCAAAAAAUGUUUAUAGCAAAAAUAACUCUAUGCUCUUCAAUGAAAUCUAGAGAGGAACCAUCAAUCAGAGAAAGUUUCAUGGCUAAACGAGUGAUAAUAGAGCAAAUGGCCACAUCCCCUACUUUGUAGUGAGGAACACCCAACUAGUGGUCAACUAAAGCACGAAUAGGUGAUACCUUAAUUUUCUUUUACAGCUGCAUACAUUAGCUGUAAGUCUAUGAUUCUAACCUUGCUAGUGUCAUCACGGGGAAAGAAAACCAUACCCAACCAUUUGUGUAAGAACCUAAGUGUGGGAUGCUCUAUGUCUCCGGUGCGGUGUGCAUGCAAGAACAGUUCUUUAGAAAUGUUGGUCCAAAACCUAUGUGUGUCGUAAUCUCCUAAGGCUCCUACUAUGUCUAUGGGUGCAUCUAAGGGGAAGCCUAAGAGAUGACUAAGGUUUCUCCAGGUGAAGUAAAACUCUCGGGUGAGAAGUCUAAAAUAGACUCCUGUUUCAGUGAGUUGGAGAGUGCAGAGAAACUCUAUGGUCAAGAGUUUUGACCCUAACUCAGUGAUGUUUGCAAAAGUUUUCCAACUGACAAACUAAAAAAUGGUGUCGAGUUCAUCGGCCAUACCUGCCUCGUAUAGAAGUGUUUCAUCGAGGACUGGCAUGUGUGCGUAGCUCCAAUCUUUGAACUUCUUAUAGAUGGCCCUCUCCCGAGAAUCUCUCAAGGCAAGAUGAGAUGCCCUGAGGAGGAUCCUCUGGGGUGCAGAAGAAGAUGUUGACUGGGGGAUGACUGGGGGAUCGAUGCUCAUGUCGGAGCUGACCCUUGAUGAAGCAUACCGGGACGAGCUCGUUGUGCUCCUACCCAUGACCUUGUUGGCGAUUCCUUUGACCUAGCUCUUCAUCCUACAAAAAAUCUUACAACAAUACUAGUGCAAAAAGGGGGUUAGUUAAUAGUUAGUGGUUAGCCAUCCACAGUCAGCAGUCCAAAGGUUAGUCGUUCUUCCAAGAUUAAUUCUAGUUUGUAGUUUUGAUUUUGAUAGAACCUCCCCUCAUAUUUUAAAAUUCUUAUUCCUACCUGGACAGCAUCUCCACUAAUUUUCUAUGAGAUUCUUGCAGCACUACUCCUCUCCACACUAGCUCCUUGAGCUCUUGCUCAUACUCCUCGCUUCUCAGUUCUCACUCACUUCUAUACUAUUUCUACUCUCUCCUUCUCUCUCAAACUCUCUCUGUACAACUCAAAGUCGAGAGCAAGGUUACAGGCAACGAAAACUGAAUGUGUGGUG